GGAAAAGGCCACCAGUUGCUUAGAUAAUAGAAUAUUCGGAGAGGCAGCGAGAGAACUUGCAGUAAGUCUGCAAUGGCGAGAUUUAUCAUAAAAAUAACGGCUCGUUUUGUUUCCCUCAUAUAAGCAUAAAAUACCCAGAGAGCUAAAACGUUUCCAAUUAACCCAGGGACUAAAAUUAUAGUGUACGUGAUUGCAUACAGUUGACUUAUAGAUGUGUGGUUCAUGUCAAGUUCACAUGUAAUGGAAUUAUU
Molecule: non-coding RNA, 251 nt
Organism: Pelobates cultripes (western spadefoot toad)
Lineage: Eukaryota; Metazoa; Chordata; Amphibia; Anura; Pelobatidae
Source: the annotation of a GenBank genome assembly